CAGCCCCCGGCCCGCGCCGCCCGGACGGGUGGAGAGGCCUGGCCGCUUCUCAUUGAAGAAUUUCCAUCGUCGUCAUGGUGCAAGCCUGAGGUUAUGCAGUGACAGUCAUAUUAGCUUGUGACAGCCAGCAGAUAUCCACGUGUAUUUUGGGGCAUGUUGAACUGCUUAAACCUGACCUGCAUGUGACUGCAAAAAUGCACCUGAGAGCUACUGAUUUAUGGAAGUGACUGAAGAACUACUUCCCUUCUAAUACAACAGGCAACCACAGCUCUGGAGAUACAUGCUCUGAGGAAACAUCCCCAAAUAGUGUGAAAAGAGGUGGAUAGUACAACAGCUGCAACUUCAAUUACCUGUGAGGACAUAAUUCUAGAUGCACGCUGUCUUCAGAAUGAAAAAUAUAACCCAUGUCUUGUGCUCCAACCAACCCUGGAUUUAACAUGAUGAGAAAACUAAAAAAUCUGCAAGCUGAUAUUUCUUUUCCUGAGAUAAUAUUCAGCUCUGGAAAAGUGAAGAAAACAAUGAAGUUUUCUCAGUCUAAUAUUUCUGCUCAUUAAUGGAAGAAAGUGAAAUCUGGAAAGAAACAAAGAAUGAAAUCAAAACCUAUCCUUUAUCCGGUCUGGGGCUGUUAUCUAACUGUUGUUCAUAAGACAGCGUGGUUUUCAUUAAUGAGCUACUCUUUCAAGCUCAGUGUUUACAGAUCACUACAGUACCACAGAAACUUUCCGUAUUAAAUACACAAUUCUGACUCAUUCCAAGACUCUUCCCAACUGUGCUCAUCAAUGCAUUCUAUGGCAGAGUUCCUUUUGAACUAGCUCAGUACACAGAUGUUAUUACAACAUACAUGAAUGUGAUUACAGUAACAAUUAAUUGAAAUUUGCAUCAAAUGCAAUCUUUUUAAUUGAUCGUAUCCAAUUUG
RNAcentral lists this long non-coding RNA (916 nucleotides) under Taeniopygia guttata (zebra finch). RNAcentral's name for it is "lncRNA (ENSTGUG00000019981.1)". The record is from RNAcentral. Lineage: Eukaryota; Metazoa; Chordata; Aves; Passeriformes; Estrildidae.